Molecule: small nuclear RNA, 23 nt
Filed under: Arabidopsis thaliana (thale cress)
Lineage: Eukaryota; Viridiplantae; Streptophyta; Magnoliopsida; Brassicales; Brassicaceae
Description: snRNA_02730
Source: RNAcentral
AAAUACUAAAAUUGUCUGGAGAA